RNAcentral lists this ribosomal RNA (253 nucleotides) under uncultured bacterium. RNAcentral's name for it is "partial 16S ribosomal RNA". It matches the Rfam family "Bacterial small subunit ribosomal RNA", at positions 524 to 776 of the family's 1533-position model. The record is from RNAcentral.
UACAGAGGUCUCAAGCGUUGUUCGGGUUCAUUGGGCGUAAAGGGUGCGUAGGUGGCGGGGUAAGUCAGGUGUGAAAUUUCGGAGCUUAACUCCGAAACUGCAUUUGAUACUGCCUUGCUUGAGGACUGGAGAGGAGAUUGGAAUUCACGGUGUAGCAGUGAAAUGCGUAGAUAUCAGGAAGAACACCGAUGGCGAAAGCAGCUCUCUGGGACGGUACUGACGCUGAGGCGCGAAAGCGUGGGGAGCGAACAGG